RNAcentral lists this ribosomal RNA (495 nucleotides) under uncultured bacterium. Its description in RNAcentral is "partial 16S ribosomal RNA". It matches the Rfam family "Bacterial small subunit ribosomal RNA", at positions 28 to 505 of the family's 1533-position model. The record is from RNAcentral.
GAUGAACGCUGGCGGCGUGCCUAAUACAUGCAAGUCGAGCGAACGGACGAGAAGCUUGCUUCUCUGAUGUUAGCGGCGGACGGGUGAGUAACACGUGGAUAACCUACCUAUAAGACUGGGAUAACUUCGGGAAACCGUAGCUAAUACCGGAUAAUAUUUUGAACCGCAUGGUUCAAAAGUGAAAGACGGUCUUGCUGUCACUUAUAGAUGGAUCCGCGCUGCAUUAGCUAGUUGGUAAGGUAACGGCUUACCAAGGCAACGAUGCAUAGCCGACCUGAGAGGGUGAUCGGCCACACUGGAACUGAGACACGGUCCAGACUCCUACGGGAGGCAGCAGUAGGGAAUCUUCCGCAAUGGGCGAAAGCCGGACGGAGCAACGCCGCGUGAGUGAUGAAGGUCUUCGGAUCGUAAAACUCUGUUAUUAGGGAAGAACAUAUGUGUAAGUAACUGUGCACAUCUUGACGGUACCUAAUCAGAAAGCCACGGCUAACUACG